Molecule: small RNA, 267 nt
Filed under: Metabacillus harenarius
Lineage: Bacteria; Bacillati; Bacillota; Bacilli; Caryophanales; Bacillaceae
Description: Bacillus weihaiensis BsrG
Rfam family: BsrG
About the family: bsrE, bsrG and bsrH pair through intermolecular interactions with antisense sRNAs. SR4 interaction with the 3'UTR of bsrG RNA promotes bsrG degradation and inhibits its translation. SR5 also overlaps bsrG from nucleotide 163 to 52 (Rfam overlap check).
Source: Rfam by way of RNAcentral
UAUAAUAGAAUGGCACUAGGUAGGUAAACUCAAGUGUGGUCAGCGUUACCCCGUAAGGAAAGGGGGUGAUGCUUAUGUUGACAGUAUUUCAAACGUUAAUGCUGAUGAUUGCAUUUGCUGGUUUGGUGUUGUCAAUCAUAUCUUUUAGAGACAAAAAAUAACCCACCCUUGAGCUUUCCAGGCGAUAGGUGAGUUAUUUCCAACAUCGCUGAUCCCCUUGAUGGGAACCUAGCUAUUGUAUGACUGUUUGGUGUUAGAGCACCGAAC